AUUACAUAAAACUGCCUCCUUUCCCCAUUCUGUGCAGUAAUCACUCGACAUCGGGUCAUGUUGUGCUCUCAGACGUAGUUAAAGCUAAACAAAUUCAUCUGUCAGAUGUCUGUCUGUCAGAGAGGGCAAUUUGCAUUUAAAUGCAACCCUAUGUGUACAGUAUAGAGACCAGUCCUAUACUAUGUACAGUAUGUGCACCAGCCCAUGAAAAUGUAUAUUUCUGCAGAAUAAACUGUUUCUAGACCAGAUCUAGAGAAUAUAUGAAGAUAAAGUCUGUCAAAGUUGUGAUAAGGAAGCCAGUUCUGUAGGAUGCAGAGACAAGUCCUGUAAAAUGUACAGAGUCCAGCCUCAUGUAUUGUAAAGUAUAGGGACAAACACCAUACCAAGUUUAGUGUCAGGCCCAGUACUUUAGUAUGUACAGUAUCAAGAUCGCUUCUGUAGAAUGUGCAGUAAAGAAUUGAAACGCAUACAGAGACCGGCUCCCAAGAAUAUAUGGUCUAGAGACAGGUCCUUCAUAAUGUACAUUGGAGGUACCAGGCGUGAUGAAAGUGCAUUAUAAGGGUUGUUCCUGGUACCAACCCUUUAGGCUAUGCAAUAUGAGAACUAGUAUGAAUACCAGCCCCAUGGCACGUGUAGUGUAGCGAUCAGGCCCACAGAAUGUACAGUCUUGUGUACAGCCAUGUCGACUAUAUAGUAUGGAGACCAGGCCUGCAGUGUUUACAUUGUAGAGUCCAACCCCAAUGAGCAGGUUGUGCACCUUCCUUGUAGAUGUACAAUGUGGUGACAUGACCUGUAAAGUGUACAGUGUAUGAACGACUGUUGUAGUAAUGUAGCAUAGAGACCAGCUCCACAGAAUGAACAGUAAAAUGUACAUUAAAGUGAUCACCCAUGGUGUGAACUAUAUAGAGACCUAUCUUGCAGGAUGUACAGUAUAGAAACCAGUCCUUAUAGAACAUACAAUCUAGAGACCAGUCCAAUAUGUACUGUAUAGACUAUUCCCUAAUAUACACAGUACAAUUUGCAGUUUGUAAAAUAUAGCAUUUUUAUAGUGUAAUAUUUAACUUGUAUACCAUCUGAUCCUGCAGAUUGGAUAGUAUAGAGAUCACUCGAGUGUAGGAUUAUAUAUGUUGGGCCAAUGCUAUUGUGCAUGUUAGUAGUAGAGACAGCCCUUUUAUACAAGAGAAGACUCGCCCUGUAAAAUGUAAAAUACUGGGAACAAAGCCACAGUAGGUCACAUUAUGUCAUGCUCACAAACUGAGGUGCUGAUUCACAUUAUGUACUUGAUUAUACUAUAUGCUAGAUCACAUUGUACACCUAAUCUCAUCUUGCUCUAAAUCAUAUUGUGUACUGGAUUACAUUGAAUAUUGGGUCUUUAUUCGAUAUAAUAAUACAAUUAUAUAUAUGUAUUAUCACAUGAGUACUGGAGCAUGUUGGUUGUUGGAUCACUUUGGGCACUGAAUUACACUGAGUACUUGUCUAUAUCUGGAACUGGAUAAUAUUGAGUACUUUGUCAUUAUUGGAUCACAUCCUGCGGUGCUUCAAGGUACCGAUCAAAGAUUCAACAUUUGGAAACUGUUGUGAUAUUUAUGAUGUACAGAUAAAUGUGAUAUAUGUUCUGCUAAAAUGUGCAAGGAAAGUUUCAUAAAACUAGGUUCAAUACACCAUAAUCCACCAGAAAUUGGUCAGAGGCUGUAUGUGUUUGUCAUUUUGAGGCGCAUUUUAAAGGCAAGCAAUUACUAUUUUUGCACACACAAGUUUUGCAAAGGAUUGUAAUGCAUAUAGUCUGCAAAAUACUCUACAGUGCGCUAUAAUGAUCGCAAAAAUGCAGCAUUCAAUUAAAGCGCGGCAACAAUCAUCAUGACAGCACUUUGUGUAUGAAGAGGUUCGUAUAAUGCUUUGCCCUGUAUUGCAGAAACAUCUCAAAAGCGCUAACGAUCAACAGAUUAUUUUUCAACUGAUGCGAUUCUGGUUAUGUAGCAAAAUGCGGCCGCAAAUUUGCAAACAGCAAAUGAUAUGAAUGAUCAGUUAACCUGUUUUGGGUGGUGUAGGUUGAGUGCUAAGCAGCUGCUUAAAGCAUUGAACUUGCGCAUAACAGCCCAGUGCAGCUAUUUCCACAGCAAUUUUCCUUGGACAAUGGAGUGUACCAGCCACAUUUUGACAACCAGGCGCAAAAGGCUUUAAUUAAUGAAGUGAGCCACCAUAUACUGCAUGGAGGGCCGCUCCUCCUGAGAAACCUGGUGCAGCAGGUCUGGAAAUAAAUCGUGGAGCUUGUAAAUGCUGCUUCCAGAACUCAACGAACCUGGCAAGAUGUUAGGAAGAAGAUGGGAGAUCUCAAGAAAUCGGCUAAGGACAAGAUGGCCUUCAAUCAGCGAGAACAGUGCUGCAUUGGACUCAGCCAAUUCGUGCCCCUACCCUAUGCAAGAACGACACUUUGGAACUAAUAAGCAGGGAGAGUAUAGAGGGAAUGGGGGACGGCAAAGCUGCAAGCUUCCAACGAGUUCAUGGCUAGUAUGAUAAUAUUUUUGUUGUAUCAUUUUGAUCUGUUAAAUAACUGUCGAUCAGGCACAUGCUGACCUAAGUAAGAGUGCAGAUAAUACCGUGGAGUGACGCAUUAUCUUCUCUUUUCACAGAAAUGGAAAAACAGAGUGUAGCAGUAUCUGCAAGAAAGGCCACAAUCACAGCACUUUAUAGCACAAUCACUAUAUCAACCACCAGGUUCAGCUACACACUUCAAAGAACAUAGAUAGGGAGAUUUAGGAGGAGCCUCAGGGGUAAGUCACAGCCCACGGAUGAGAAGGAGCAAGAGGGCCUGUUGAUCAUCGACUGAAGAAAAAAAACAGCGCGGUUACUGAAGCAGUAUCGGAAUAUCUGCACAUAUUAACCACAACGGAUCCGCUGAAAAGCAGAACACUCCUGUCUGAGCAAAUCAUCGGCUGGGAUCAUUUACGUGCGGGAUACGUUCGUGCAAAAUCCUGAAAGGAUUGUGGAGGAGCACACUACCUAGAUCUGUGCAGUUACAGAUGAAUGGUUGGUUACGCUGGAGUUUUCCAUCGAGUGUGUGGAAACUCCAAUGGGCCUGCAGUGGUAACCCCUCAGUGCAGAUCAAAGGCACAUUUGGGACAUUUCUCAUAAAUGUUCAUACUACCACGAUAGAGAUUUAAGGCUCAGCCCUUAAAGGUGCUCUUUUGACACCCUCAGAUAAUUUGGAGAUUGGAUGCAGGCAGUCGUAAAGAAUUUGCGGAUUUUACAGAUGCCUGAAUUCUAUUCUCACAUGAGUGGAUGUUGAGAGAAUACAUAUUGCCAGGUUAAAGAGAUGAUCGGGUCUUACAUUAAUCCAAGCUGUCAAGAUUUCCAACGUAACAAUAGGUAUGUAAGAAUAAGCAAUACGACCGGUCGCAAACAUGAGUGAAACUACUGGAGUCCGUGCCACAUAGAGGUUUCAUGCCACUACUAUUCCAACAGCCUGACUAUGGAACUCACCACCAGCCUAUACAAUCAUUCCCUUCGAGAGGGAAUCAAUGAGGAGAAGAUGAGGUAGGCCUGUUCUACCCCAACAAACUCCAGACACAAAGUACAAUCUUCACUAUAUACAUAAUGGCUGGAAUAAAAACACUGGAUUUAAUUUGUA
This is a long non-coding RNA of Amblyraja radiata (thorny skate), 3628 nucleotides long. RefSeq lists it as uncharacterized. The record is from RefSeq and is a predicted model, not a curated record. NCBI's taxonomy places the organism in Eukaryota, Metazoa, Chordata, Chondrichthyes, Rajiformes, Rajidae. The transcript has 2 exons.